UGCCAGCCGCCGCGGUAAUACGUAGGUGGCAAGCGUUGUCCGGAUUUACUGGGCGUAAAGAGUGUGUAGGCGGAUAAUUAAGUCAGAUGUGAAAGCCCAGGGCUCAACCCUGGAGGUGCAUUUGAUACUGGUUAUCUAGAGUGCGGGAGAGGAGAGUGGAAUUCCUAGUGUAGCGGUGAAAUGCGUAGAGAUUAGGAAGAACACCAGUGGCGAAGGCGACUCUCUGGACCGUAACUGACGCUGAGGAACGAAAGCCAGGGGAGCGAAUGGGAUUAGAUA
RNAcentral lists this ribosomal RNA (279 nucleotides) under uncultured bacterium. RNAcentral's name for it is "partial 16S ribosomal RNA". It matches the Rfam family "Bacterial small subunit ribosomal RNA", at positions 506 to 784 of the family's 1533-position model. The record is from RNAcentral.